RNAcentral lists this ribosomal RNA (329 nucleotides) under uncultured eukaryote. RNAcentral describes it as "partial 18S ribosomal RNA". It matches the Rfam family "Eukaryotic small subunit ribosomal RNA", at positions 1470 to 1796 of the family's 1831-position model. The record is from RNAcentral.
CCCUUAGAUGUUCUGGGCCGCACGCGCGCUACACUGACGAUGGCAACGAGUUUUUCCUUCGCCGAAAGGUGUGGGUAAUCUUUUGAAACAUCGUCGUGCUGGGGAUAGAUCAUUGCAAUUUUUGAUCUUGAACGAGGAAUUCCUGGUAAGCGCGAGUCAUCAGCUCGCGUUGAUUACGUCCCUGCCCUUUGUACACACCGCCCGUCGCUACUACCGAUUGAAUGGUUUAGUGAGGACUCCUGAUUGGCGCCGCCGCCCCGGCAACGGAGCAGCGGACUGCCGAAAAGUUGUUCAAACUUGAUCAUUUAGAGGAAGUAAAAGUCGUAACA